GGUAUCCUGUGUUGCUUACCCCCGGAAAGGAAUUUGAUGGAUUUGGUGUCCCCUUCCGCCCUGCGCCCUUCGGGGUGCGGGGUGGACGCGAGUYGGGCUCCGUGUUCCCCGCGUGUCGAGCGCGUUGACGCUCGGCCGCUGUGGCCCAUGGGGUCUCGGCCGUGCUCUCGGAUGCGGAAUGCUGUGCGUGGGAGCGGGGUCUCGGCCUCUGCUCGUCCGAGCUGCACGCGUUGUCCCUGGACGUGAACGACCGCCCUGCCCGUCUUGAUCGGCCUGCCGAGUCCCCGUCGCGGGGCUCCGGGAGGGCGGCUCAUGCGGGUCUCGGCGUCGGAGAGGNAAUGC
Molecule: unclassified non-coding RNA, 342 nt
Filed under: Zanthoxylum dipetalum
Lineage: Eukaryota; Viridiplantae; Streptophyta; Magnoliopsida; Sapindales; Rutaceae
Description: partial external transcribed spacer
Source: RNAcentral